Molecule: ribosomal RNA, 492 nt
Filed under: Theridiinae sp. 101A
Lineage: Eukaryota; Metazoa; Arthropoda; Arachnida; Araneae; Theridiidae
Description: partial 16S ribosomal RNA
Rfam family: Archaeal large subunit ribosomal RNA (bases 106-401)
Source: RNAcentral
UUUGUUUUUUAAUUUAAAACUAGUAUGAAAGAUUUUACAUUUUAAUUUAUUUAUUUUUUAUAAUUAUAAUAAAUUAUAUUAAUUAUAAGAAUAUAAUUUUACAAUAAAAAGACGAUAAGACCCUAUUGAAUUUCACUUAUGUUUAGCUGGGGCAGCUAAAUAAUUAAUAUUUUACCAGAUUUUAUAAUAUUAUCUAUUAUAAAUAAAUAUAAUUAAAUUACCAUAGGGAUAACAGCGUAAUAUAAUUUUUUAGUUCUUAUUAUAAAUUUGGAUUGCGACCUCGAUGUUGAAUUAUUAUUGCUUAUUUAACGCAACAGUUAAAAAAGUAGGUCUGUUCGACCUUUAAUAUAUUACAUGAUUUGAGUUCAAACCGGUGUAAACCAGGUUGGUUUCUAUCUUUUUAUUUAAUUUUCUAGUACGAAAGGACAAAAAAUUUUAUUUUAAGUUUUAUAUUAGCAAAUAAAUGCAUUAGAAUUAGAAUCUAAAAAUAGU